AGAGAAAGGAGCAGCCAUCUUCUCAACAACAUGAAUUCUCUCCCUUAAGACAGACAAGAUGAUUUAACCCUGAAGCUGCUGCCAGUACUCCACCCUGUUCCACCUUACUCAUUUGGGAGAAGAGUUUCAGAYCCAUCAACCUGGAAGUUCAGAUGGUUUCAUUGAUAUCCAGCCUUUGGAACAAACCUGGUGGCACAUCUACGAAAUGCGACAACCCGUAUGUCUUCAUGCAUGGAGACAGGCAAAAAUGCUAAAGUGUCAUUAAAAAUGAUCCUUGUUUAAUGGCUGAAA
Poecilia reticulata (guppy) is the source of this 291-nucleotide non-coding RNA. NCBI's taxonomy places the organism in Eukaryota, Metazoa, Chordata, Actinopteri, Cyprinodontiformes, Poeciliidae. The record is from RefSeq and is a predicted model, not a curated record.